CCAAUAGCGUAUAUUAAAGUUGUUGCAGUUAAAAAGCUCGUAGUUGAAUUUCGGGACCAAUACGUCGGUCGUGCUUCGGUACGUACUUGCAUUAUUGGUUUCUCCCUUCUGAAGAACCAUGAUGUCAUUCAUUUGGCGUCUUGGGGAAUCAGGACUGUUACUUUGAAAAAAUUAGAGUGUUUAAAGCAGGCUCACGCUUGAAUACAUUAGCAUGGAAUAAUGAAAUAGGACGUUUGAUUCUAUUUUGUUGGUUUCUAGGAUCGACGUAAUGAUUAAUAGGGAUAGUUGGGGGCAUUAGUAUUCAAUUGUCAGAGGUGAAAUUCUUGGAUUUAUUGAAGACUAACUACUGCGAAAGCAUUUGCCAAGGAUGUUUUCAUUAAUCAAGAACGAAAGUUAGGGGAUCGAAGACGAUCAGAUACCGUCGUAGUCUUAACCAUAAACUAUGCCGACUAGGGAUCGGAUGAUGUUAAUUUUUUAAUGACUCAUUCGGCGCCUUACG
RNAcentral lists this ribosomal RNA (499 nucleotides) under uncultured Glomeromycotina. RNAcentral's name for it is "partial small subunit ribosomal RNA". It matches the Rfam family "Eukaryotic small subunit ribosomal RNA", at positions 591 to 1092 of the family's 1831-position model. The record is from RNAcentral. Lineage: Eukaryota; Fungi; Glomeromycota.